UGAGCAACCUGCCCUUAGCUCUGGGAUAACCCCGGGAAACCGGGCUAAUACCGGAUACGAGUCCGAGCGGCAUCACACGGACUGGAAAGUUUUUCGGCUAAGGAUGGGCUCGCGGCCUAUCAGCUUGUUGGUGGGGUAAUGGCCUACCAAGGCGACGACGGGUAGCCGGCCUGAGAGGGCGACCGGCCACACUGGGACUGAGACACGGCCAGACUCCUACGGGAGCA
Molecule: ribosomal RNA, 227 nt
Filed under: uncultured bacterium
Lineage: Bacteria
Description: partial 16S ribosomal RNA
Rfam family: Bacterial small subunit ribosomal RNA
Source: RNAcentral